UCACAGCAAUUGCUGAAGUGGUUUUGUUGAUGUUGUCUUGUUGUUUAUCUCAACAGCAGGUGGUGGUGAGGAUGCACCACGUGAGUAGGGUGAGAGGCCUGGAGACUCAACUGGUCUGGACCAUCUCCAAGGAGACAGCCAGGCUUAGUCCAGAGGGCAUCUCCUACUGUGCCACCAAAGUGCAGUCCAUCACUUGGAUCCAGCGUGUGGCUGGCAGGGUGACCCACUAUGCGUCUCACCUCCGCCACGAGACGUCUGUGGACGUGACGCUUGGCUGCUACCAGGUAAAUAAACGAUUUCCUAUGUAUAUAGACUAGACAUUACUGGGCAUUUUUGCAUUAGAUUUGGUGUGUUUUCUAAUAACGUGUGUGUGGUAAACGUGUGUUUUGAGCAGCAGACGGAUGUCUCAGUGGUGUACGCCACUCUCCACAUGGGGCUGGACGGGCUUCUCUCCUCUUCAGCGUGGUCGGAGGCUGCCUCCUUCUCUACGCCCACCACUCAGCAGUUCACUGACCCAGAGCCUGAGGGCCACAACUGCUAUGAGGGCUGGGAGGAUGACCUGCUGCCUGAGGAGAGGGAGGUUCCUCUGCUAAAGUGAGUUCCUCUAAAUGUCUGGGCUUGUCAGAUGCUGAAGGAUAGUGGUCAUAAUGCUGUUAUCCCCCAUUGACUCUAAUGGUUGACAUGCUCCAUUCCCUCCCUUUCACAGCCUCUACCUUACCACCAAGAGAGUGGAGGACAUUACCCUGAGGUUCGCCUCCCUGCGCCAGGCCUUCACUACCCUGCUUGGUUCCACCCUGAGCAGGAACCAUCUGUUUGUGGCGGGAAAGGUCCUCCUGGGCGCACUGGUUCAGGCCAACCGCAUGGACGAGGCCAAGUUCAUCCGUACCUACAACGACUUUGUGGACUACCUGACUACCCCUCCAAGCGGAAUGACAUUGAGAGGGAGCUGGCUGAGGCAAAGAUCCAUCAUGUGAACAUGAUAGAUUUCCUCUUUGAGCUGGUGCUGUUUGGGUUGAUGACAGCUCAGAAGUCCCUGAUGGUGGUAAGUAGC
Salvelinus sp. IW2-2015 is the source of this 1051-nucleotide non-coding RNA. Lineage: Eukaryota; Metazoa; Chordata; Actinopteri; Salmoniformes; Salmonidae. The record is from RefSeq and is a predicted model, not a curated record.